This 253-nucleotide ribosomal RNA is filed under the name uncultured bacterium. RNAcentral's name for it is "partial 16S ribosomal RNA". It matches the Rfam family "Bacterial small subunit ribosomal RNA", at positions 524 to 776 of the family's 1533-position model. The record is from RNAcentral. RNAcentral also lists the same sequence under 1 other name.
UACGGAGGAUGCAAGCGUUAUCCGGAUUUAUUGGGUUUAAAGGGUGCGCAGGUGGUUUAAUAAGUCAGUGGUGAAAGUCUGCCGCUUAACGGUAGGAUUGCCAUUGAUACUGUUGGACUUGAAUAUGGAUGAGGUAGGCGGAAUGUGUAGUGUAGCGGUGAAAUGCUUAGAUAUUACACAGAACACCGAUUGCGAAGGCAGCUUACUAAUCCAUGAUUGACGCUGAGGCACGAAAGCGUGGGGAUCAAACAGG